Molecule: transfer RNA, 71 nt
Filed under: Candidatus Levybacteria bacterium CG10_big_fil_rev_8_21_14_0_10_35_13
Lineage: Bacteria; Candidatus Levyibacteriota
Description: tRNA-Gly
Rfam family: tRNA
About the family: Transfer RNA (tRNA) molecules are approximately 80 nucleotides in length.
Source: RNAcentral
GCAGAUGUAGUGUAGUGGUAACACGUCUUCUUCCCAAGAAGGAAACAAGGGUCCGAUUCCCUUCAUCUGCU